Myodes glareolus (Bank vole) is the source of this 782-nucleotide non-coding RNA. Lineage: Eukaryota; Metazoa; Chordata; Mammalia; Rodentia; Cricetidae. The record is from RefSeq and is a predicted model, not a curated record.
ACGCAAGGCAGUUAUCUCAGUUUCACGAUGGCCCUGGCAGCCUCGUAGCGAGAUCCUCAGAAUGCUUUGCCAUCCUGAGAGCAGAGCUUCAUCUCCUAAACAGAGAGCAGGCUGAACGCCUUAUCUUCUGAGAACAAACCAUCGCCAGAACACAUAAUCAAGAGUUUGAGCUUCGCGGCCAAGCACCCAGUGCAGUCAGGCAUCCAGCCGGAAGAAAUCCAAAAAGUCCGUUUUCAAAGCUAAAGAAUAUCAGGUGACUCAGUUUUUUUAUUAGCCAAUUCAGCGAAACUUCAUUACAACUUUAUCAGAUCAUAUGGUCGACAUGAAAAUGGACAUGAUGUGCUGCAUGUCACUGUAUGAGGACAAUGAUAAAUGUCCAGAUACACAAAUUCUAGCGUACAUAUAGGACCUGAGACUGAAAAGUGGCAAACACUGAAAUGAGAUUGAUAUGCAGAGACAGGGGGCAGAGGACUCUUCCAGACACACAAGACAGAGUAAAUACUUACUGAAAGAAGUUACAAGCCACUGAACGAAUAGAAGUUGGGUUUGUUGGUUUUCAGGGAGGUCUAUUAACUUGAACAAACCAUGCCUGCUCUUUUGGUACUGAUUCACUUUGUUUCUGAAAUUAAUAGACUCCAUACCACGUUCUUUAAGGUGCUGCGAACACUGAGGCUCGUCACGUUAUAACACUCCCAGCAACUUCCCACAGGAAGGAUUGGGUUCUUCCCUUACUGUAAUGAUGUUUUGAUUUUAUUUCAGAAAUACAGAAGUUUUUAUAAGUU